GGGGAUUUAGCUCAGCGGCAUAAGCGCCUGCCUUGCAAGCAGGGGGUCAUAAGUUUGAUCCCCG
Molecule: transfer RNA, 64 nt
Organism: Cavia porcellus (domestic guinea pig)
Lineage: Eukaryota; Metazoa; Chordata; Mammalia; Rodentia; Caviidae
Rfam family: tRNA
About the family: Transfer RNA (tRNA) molecules are approximately 80 nucleotides in length. Their secondary structure includes four short double-helical elements and three loops (D, anti-codon, and T loops).
Source: Rfam